RNAcentral lists this ribosomal RNA (253 nucleotides) under uncultured bacterium. Its description in RNAcentral is "partial 16S ribosomal RNA". It matches the Rfam family "Bacterial small subunit ribosomal RNA", at positions 524 to 776 of the family's 1533-position model. The record is from RNAcentral.
UACGUAGGGCGCAAGCGUUGUCCGGAAUUAUUGGGCGUAAAGAGCGCGUAGGCGGUCCGAUAAGUCGGCUGUGAAAGUCAGGGGCUCAACCCUUGAAAGCCGGCCGAUACUGUCGGACUAGAGUCCGGAAGAGGCAAGUGGAAUUCCCGGUGUAGCGGUGAAAUGCGCAGAUAUCGGGAGGAACAUCUGUGGCGAAGGCGGCCAUCUGGACCAGCACUGACACUGAGGCACGAAAGCGUGGGGAGCAAACAGG